AGUGAACGCUGGCGGUAGGCCUAACACAUGCAAGUCGAACGGCAGCACAGGAGAGCUUGCUCUCUGGGUGGCGAGUGGCGGACGUGUGAGGAAUACAUCGGAAUCUACUUUUUCGUGGCGGAUAACGUAGGGAAACUUACGCUAAUACCGCAUACGAGCUACGGGUGAGAGCGAGGGAUCUUCGGACCUUGCGCGAUUGAAUGAGCAGAUGUCGGAUUAGCUAGUUGGCGGGGUAAAGGCCCACCAAGGGGACGAUCCGUAGCUGGUCUGAGAGGAUGAUCAGCCACACUGGAACGGAGACACGGUCCAGACUCCUACGGGAGGCAGCAGUGGGGAAUAGUGGACAAUGGGCGCAAGCCUGAUCCAGCCAUACCGCGUGGGUGAAGAAGGCCUUCGGGUUGUAAAGCCCUUUUGUUGGGAAAGAAAUCCAGCUGGUUAAUACCCGGUUGGGAUGACGGUACCCAAAGAAUAAGCACCGGCUAACUUCGUGCCAGCCGCCGCCGUAA
Molecule: ribosomal RNA, 506 nt
Filed under: uncultured bacterium
Lineage: Bacteria
Description: partial 16S ribosomal RNA
Rfam family: Bacterial small subunit ribosomal RNA
Source: RNAcentral